UGACUGUUGUUUGCGUCUUGAUGACUUUUAUGUAGCAUAUCUUAUAGUAUGAACUAUAUCUAAAUUAUAUAAUCUAAUUAUAAAAUUUAAGAAUUUUUUUAUUAUUAAAAAAGAAUGGUUAUUCAAUAUAAUAAGAAAAUACUUUAAUGACUUUUACUUUUUGUGGAGACUUGACAUUUCUUUCCAAGUAUUUCACAGUACUGUUGAAGAAUUUCUAACCUAUUUUAUAGUUUUGUAAAAUUUCAUGCAAAAUGUAUUUGAAUAUACCAGAUGUUUACACAGGUGUUAAUUGAGCUUCCUCUAUUAUGCUUUACUUUCCUUAUCAUAGAAGUGCUAAAGAUUUGAUUGACAUCUUAAUGGAUCAUGAUAAUUAUUAUCACAUAAACUGCUGAGAAGAGCCUACUUGAAAAGCCCCAAACAUCCUCCAAGCAUGCUCCGUGCUUCCUCGUAAGAAUAAAUCUAUGAUCCCUAAUGUAUGGUUGGUAGUGUAUGAUGGUGGAUUGUCUGGUGGUAGUGUAUGAUUGGUGGAAGGUAUGUUUGUAGUGCAUGAUAGGUGGAAGGUAUGUUGGUAGUGCAUGAUUGUUGGAAGGUAUGUUGGUAGUGUAUGAUUGGUGGAAAGUAAUAUAUUAGUGAAUGAUUGGUGGAAGAUGAAAUAAUUGUAUAUGAUUGGUGGAAGGUAUGUUGGUAGUGCAUGAUUGGUGGAAGGUAUGUUGGAACUGUAUGACUGGUGGAAGGUAGGUUGAUAGUGUAUGAUUGGUGGAAGGUAUGUUGGUAGUGUAUGAUUGGUGGAAGGUAUGUUGGUAGUGUAUGAUUGGUGGAAGGUAUGUUGAUAGUGUAUGAUUGGUGGAAGGUAUGUUGGUAGUGUAUGAUUGG
This is a long non-coding RNA of Mytilus californianus (California mussel), 873 nucleotides long. RefSeq lists it as uncharacterized. NCBI's taxonomy places the organism in Eukaryota, Metazoa, Mollusca, Bivalvia, Mytilida, Mytilidae. The transcript has 2 exons. The record is from RefSeq and is a predicted model, not a curated record.